GUGCUGCUUUCCCUGGCAGCUUUCAGUGUCAUCAGUGUGGUUUCUUACCUCAUCCUGGCUCUUCUGUCUGUCACUAUCAGCUUCAGAGUAUACACGUCUGUCAUCCACGCUGUGCAGAAGUCUGAAGAAGGCCAUCCAUUCAAAGCCUACUUGGACUUGGACAUCACUCUGUCCUCAGAAGUGUUCCAUAAUUACAUGAAUGCUGCCAUGGUGCAUGUCAACAGGGCUCUGAAGCUCAUCAUCUGUCUCUUUGUGGUGGAAGAUCUGGUGGCCUCCUUGAAGUUGGCUGUGUUCAUGUGGCUGAUGACCGACGUUGGUGCCAUUUUUAAUGGAAUCACCCUCCUGAUUCUUGGUGAGCUGCUUGUUUUCAGCAUCCCAAUUGUCUAUAAGAAAUACAAGACCCAGAUUGAUCAUUAUGCUGGCAUUGCCCGGGAUCAGACCAAGUCAGUUGUUGAAAAGAUCCAAGCAAAACUCCUGGGAAUUGCCAAAAACAAA
Molecule: RNA transcript, 495 nt
Organism: Octodon degus (degu)
Lineage: Eukaryota; Metazoa; Chordata; Mammalia; Rodentia; Octodontidae
Gene name: reticulon-3 pseudogene
Exons: 1
Source: RefSeq, a predicted model, not a curated record